Molecule: non-coding RNA, 72 nt
Organism: Bos taurus (domestic cattle)
Lineage: Eukaryota; Metazoa; Chordata; Mammalia; Artiodactyla; Bovidae
Source: Rfam
UCCCUCAUAGCUCAGUAGGUAAAGAAUCUGCCUGCAAUGCAGGAGACCUGGGUUUGAUUCCUAGGUUGGGAA